GACGAACGCUGGCGGCGUGCUUAACACAUGCAAGUCGAGCGGUAAGGCCCUUUCGGGGGUACACGAGCGGCGAACGGGUGAGUAACACGUGGGUGACCUGCCUCUAGCUCUGGGAUAAGCCCGGGAAACUGGGUCUAAUACUGGAUAUGACUCCAUGACGCAUGUUGUGGGGUGGAAAGCCUUGUGCGGCUAGAGAUGGGCCCGCGGCCUAUCAG
RNAcentral lists this ribosomal RNA (215 nucleotides) under uncultured bacterium. Its description in RNAcentral is "partial 16S ribosomal RNA". It matches the Rfam family "Bacterial small subunit ribosomal RNA", at positions 28 to 244 of the family's 1533-position model. The record is from RNAcentral.